AAGGUGAUGAUGGAAUUGGUAGACAUUAACAGUUUAGGUCUGUUUGAUAUUUAUUUAUCGUACCCGUUCAAGUCGGGUUCACCUUA
Non-coding RNA from Colletotrichum graminicola M1.001, 86 nucleotides. The record is from the annotation of a RefSeq genome assembly. Lineage: Eukaryota; Fungi; Ascomycota; Sordariomycetes; Glomerellales; Glomerellaceae.